UAGGGAAUCUUCGGCAAUGGGGGGAACCCUGAACGAGCAACGCCGCGUGAGUGAAGAAGGUCUUCGGAUCGUAAAGCUCUGUUGUUAAGGAAGAACGAGUGUGAGAAUGGAAAGUUCAUGCUGUGACGGUACUUAACCAGAAAGGGACGGCUAACUACGUGCCAGCAGCCGCGGUAAUACGUAGGUCCCGAGCGUUGUCCGGAUUUAUUGGGCGUAAAGCGAGCGCAGGCGGUUAGAAAAGUCUGAAGUGAAAGGCAGUGGCUCAACCAUUGUAGGCUUUGGAAACUGUUUAACUUGAGUGCAGAAGGGGAGAGUGGAAUUCCAUGUGUAGCGGUGAAAUGCGUAGAUAUAUGGAGGAACACCGGUGGCGAAAGCGGCUCUCUGGUCUGUAACUGACGCUGAGGCUCGAAAGCGUGGGGAGCGAACAGG
This 429-nucleotide ribosomal RNA is filed under the name Bacteroidota bacterium. RNAcentral's name for it is "Bacteroidetes bacterium partial 16S ribosomal RNA". It matches the Rfam family "Bacterial small subunit ribosomal RNA", at positions 355 to 776 of the family's 1533-position model. The record is from RNAcentral. Lineage: Bacteria; Pseudomonadati; Bacteroidota.